ACACUUACGAUCGUAGUCAGCUGUCGCCGGUCUCGUCGGUCGCUCGGGCCUCCCUCUACGACAUGCAGCGGUUCGAGCGGGACCCGUACGCGGACAGGGCGCGGUACUCUGCGUUUUGAGUCGGAGGUCGCGUGCGCCGGGGCGGAAGCGUUCGGCCGG
RNAcentral lists this long non-coding RNA (159 nucleotides) under Apteryx rowi (Okarito brown kiwi). Its description in RNAcentral is "lncRNA (ENSARWG00000014665.1)". Lineage: Eukaryota; Metazoa; Chordata; Aves; Apterygiformes; Apterygidae. The record is from RNAcentral.